ACACACACACACACACACACACACACACAGAAGAACUUGCAAGUCGACACAUCAUAAAGGAAGAGCACAUCGCAACAGCAGCUGCUGUGCGAGACGGGAGGAAUAAGGUCGUCCAUCUUCGCGUCUUUCGCGCCUCUGCUUGUUUUCUUCUCCGUUGGCUGCCGCCACGCAUCCCUGCGUCAUCGACACCCGCAUUGUGCUCAUCUGCGUCAUCAUCUCAUUCGGCGCCAUGAUCUUCGAGCCGUGCGGCGACUUGCUCAAGGAUUACAGCGCCUUCUGCGAAUCUCUAUCUGUUACAGAGAGGGAGGACGUGUACAGCGCUAUUCUUACUCGUGUCGUCGAAGUGCCCCCUUUGCCUGCGGAUGAGCUCGAGGUGUCCGAAGGGGUCGGCGGUGGUGCUGGGGAUGCAUUGGACAGGCGUCUGAUAUCAGCCACUGCCAACGCGAAGGGAUCGCGCCCGUCGACCAAGACGGCUUCCAAGGAGAAGGAGAAGGCCAGCGCUGGCGGCAAACACAAGAGCCUUCUCAAGAGCUCGCAGGAGGCUUCGACAAAGCCGGCGGAAGAGGAGACUCCACCCCAUCUCCCGCUGACGCCUACCAUCACCUACGUCUCACUCCACUACCCCGUCUUCUGCUUGAACCAGCGCGAUAUGACACCGCUCUCUCGCGCCAUUCCGCACUGCCCUUCCUUGCUCUCCGUGGAGCUGAUCGGGUGCGGGCUGAGCGCGCAGAGCUACAUGCAGCUAGUAGAGGCGGUGUAUCGCAGCCCGCGUGUCUUGUCUGUAGCGGUGGAUUUCAACCAAGACAUCAGUGGAAACUCUUACACGUCCCACUCUCUCGAAAAGGGCAGCCACGCGAGUGUGCUCACAAACACGCGAGAGCAGGCUGGGUUUGUGAUUGACCCGACUCUGCGGAAUGCCGCGUCGCGGUCACUCGGCGAUGCGCUGGAGAUGUCAGUCGGCGGCUUCUGCGGCCUCUCCUUCGCUUCAGGAAACUCGCAGGAGCGGCCCUUCAGCUUGAACACAGUCCCUGCAACCUCUCCCAGCGGUACGAGCGCGGCUGACGCGGCGUCCAGUGGCGACCGGAACACUUCUCGUGUUGCCGGGGGUGACCCGAAGCCGGCCGUUAUGCGCAAUUCGAGGCUGUCGCAGAGCGCGGCAGCGGACGCGUCCGCCACCGUCUUGACCGAGGCUCAGCGGGUGGGAGAGGCCGGCGACGAGGACCACAGCGGGGGCAGCUUAGAGCUGUACUUUUACCCCACGCAGUUCUGUGGUCUGGAUCAGUUGCCCACGCAGCUGGAGCUGCAGCUGCAGGAGGAGACGGAGAAGAAAGGCAAGGUGGAUAGCAAGCGGCUGCAGCAGGUACAGGCGCAGCGUGACACCUUGCGCAUCUUCAAUCGGCAAAACCGCAUGGCAGUUCCCAAAUCGUGGGACGGCAUCCUCUUCACCGGCAUCCGCUUCCUCAGCUUGCGCGGAAACGGCAUCGACGACGCAGCCGUAACCCGCAUCGUGGAUGUGCUAAAGCACAAUCCCCGCUCGCAGCUCGAAUCGCUGAAUCUCUGGGGCAACAACAUCACCGACCUUGGUGCCACGGCGCUGGCGCAGCUGCUGCGCCAUAAUCGAGACAUUCGCGUCUUAGACGUCGGCAAUAAUAGGCUGAGCGACACCGGUCUUCUGGAAUUGAUUGACACGUUUCGCAUGCAUCAAGUGUCAUCGCUAGAGGAGGUACUUGCGCUGCGACGUGCCUAUUUAACCAGACGAGGCGCGACAGAUGAGGAGCGCAAGGCUGCGGGCCAGCCGUUGUUGGCCACCGAUAUCCCAAGCUAUGAAGAUCUCUACGCCUACUGGUGGUACACGCAGCAGCAGCUACACCAGCAGCCGCCGCCGCUUCCACACGCGACCGAACGUGGUGGCGCCGCGGACGCUACACCCCAAGUGUGGAACAACUUGUCUCUCUCUUCCGCUCUUUACAUGGCGCCGCCGCCGCCGCCUCCGCAGCGCGAUGCAUCGCUCAGCCCCAGCUCUUCAAGCGCGAAGCGGGCUUCUUCGAAGAGCAAGUCCAUGAGGUCGGAAUUGGUUCCUGGAGGCUGCGGUGGCGGGCCAAUGGCAUCCGCAGCAGCUACACUGUCUUCAUCUGCUGCGAGGGCAGCGAUGCGUCCUACGGUGGCCUUCGACAGAGACUGCGUGCGGAUGUGCCACCUCGCCGAGAAUGACCCAUCCAUCCGCGUACCGGGCAACACGGUACUGGAGGUGCUGAACCUGGAGGAGAACCGCUACGUCACCAUCAUCGGUGUGCGCGAGGCUGCGCGGCGGCUCGCCCUACGCGAGCCAGCAACGACGGCGGAGAUGUUAUCCAUGGUUGAGGUCCGGGAAGUGCACUCGACGCCGUCACUUUCACCGUCUGCGCCGCAUUCCGCCGCGAGUUCGAGCAUGGAAGGGGCUAGUAAACGCCUCACAAGCGCCAUCCACCGUAGCACAGCCGCUGCCUCGCAGCCGAUGCCGACACCGUUGACGGUGAUUCACCCACCUGAGCUACACUGCGCCGGGCUGCGGCUGCGGGUGUGCGCUGUGAGAUGCCACCGCGAGUCUGAUCGCAGGACGUGGCGUGAGAUGGAUGAGGUGCAGCAGCACCUGAACGCCUCUCUGGCACAAUGGUCCCGCUCUCGUGCCGCUUCGCGCACGUGAUGCUCAAAGUGAAAAGAAGUGCAAGGGUGUGGGGCGGGGGGGGCCGGCGGCGGCGGCGCAAACGGGAAAUGUAGAGACUGACCACGCGAACCCGCGGCACUGAGUGCCGGCGAUGCAUGCACACACACGCACUCGCGCAAGCACCACUUCACCAUCGUCCGAUGCCCAAAGGUCACCUCACUGUUUUUUUUUUUUGAUGUGCACUUUCCUCUCUGUUUCCUCGUAUCUUCUCUUACCUUGGCGUCAUGCUGGGUGGAGGCUUCAUUAGCUUGCCUCUGCAUAUGUAUGCGCGCGUGCAUGCAUGCUCACCGAGAACGAGCUCGUGGAGGGGCGCGGCUAGAGUUUCCGAGUGCUAGAGGUCACGCUGCUCGUUGCUUGCUCCAAAGGGUCGCGGCCCCUCUCGCUCUAUUCUCCGUGUGGCGUCGUGUUCCUGAGCGCUGCGUGCUGUGCUCUCUCAAACGAACAAGCGCAUCCGUGCGCGAGGUCAGAGCUGCGAUGUAAUCCGAACAGACAGACAAACAACGGCUCGAGAGAAGAAAAGAGCAGCAAUGAUUGUUCUAUUCUCGCGCUUCCCUUUCUAUGCGUCAUGCGCAUAUGUGCGUGUGCGCAUGCUCCUCCCUCGCGCCCCUCUCUCUGGUUCGACGAUGCCACUGCUGCAACCACCGGGACACCACCAGGUGAGGUAUGUACGGGUUUGGAGAGAGGAGAUGGAGGAGCGAAAAGGCAGAAAGCGGCACUUCAGCAGGGAGACGGAGGGGAGGGAGUGGGAGGGGGGGCUGUUGCACCCCCCCCCCACAGCUUGAAAGUGACUGGACGGAAAAUGUGCACGGCGGUUUAGUAAACUAAUAGGACCCCAUUGACGAAUCGCGGGCUGUCAAGCGCACCUCCCCAACCUCUCCCUAUCUUUUACCUUCGUGUUUGACGUUUUUUUUUACUGCAACGGGCCAUCACGGCAUUCUCUCUGCCCUCCUUUUCCCUCGUCUUAUCUUCACCCUCCCCCUUCCACCUCCCCCAUUAUCACCAACGCAUCAACAUACCGCGGGCCGGAGCAG
This 3735-nucleotide unclassified non-coding RNA is filed under the name Leishmania donovani. Its description in RNAcentral is "gene:LdHU3.32.4230(CDS-product:Leucine_Rich_repea t/Leucine_Rich_Repeat/Leucine_Rich_repeats_(2_copies)_putat ive)". The record is from RNAcentral. Lineage: Eukaryota; Euglenozoa; Kinetoplastea; Trypanosomatida; Trypanosomatidae.